Small nucleolar RNA from Ostrea edulis (European flat oyster), 137 nucleotides. RefSeq annotates it as small nucleolar RNA SNORD10. Lineage: Eukaryota; Metazoa; Mollusca; Bivalvia; Ostreida; Ostreidae. The transcript has a single exon. The record is from RefSeq and is a predicted model, not a curated record.
GUAAGAUGAUGAGAACAUGCGUGUCAUUUGACCCAAGUGUAACGUUCAUUCACUGCUUAAGUUGUGAUGUUUUAUUACAACUUUAUGUGGUUUAUGAAACAUUUACUUGGUAAAUGAUGUAAUUUUAUUCUGAUUAC